AAACCAGCCCCCUGAGUGGUAAGGACGAUUAUUUGGCCUAAAGCGUUCGUAGCCGGCUUAUCAAGUCUUUUGUUAAAUCCAACGAUUCAAUCGUUGGGCCGCAAAAGAUACUGUUAUGCUAGAGGACGGGAGAGGUCGACGGUAUUCCAGGGGUAGGGGUGAAAUCCUAUAAUCCUUGGAGGACCACCAGUGGCGAAGGCGGUCGACUAGAACGUGCCUGACGGUGAGGGACGAAAGCUGGGGGAGCGAACCGGAUUAGAUACCCGAGUAGUCC
RNAcentral lists this ribosomal RNA (274 nucleotides) under uncultured bacterium. RNAcentral describes it as "partial 16S ribosomal RNA". It matches the Rfam family "Archaeal small subunit ribosomal RNA", at positions 473 to 747 of the family's 1478-position model. The record is from RNAcentral.